This 503-nucleotide ribosomal RNA is filed under the name uncultured bacterium. RNAcentral's name for it is "partial 16S ribosomal RNA". It matches the Rfam family "Bacterial small subunit ribosomal RNA", at positions 29 to 523 of the family's 1533-position model. The record is from RNAcentral.
AACGAACGCUGGCGGCGUGUUUAAGACAUGCAAGUCGCACGGGACUAUUUGAGUAGCAAUACAAGAAUAGUUUAGUGGCGCACGGGUGAGUAACACGUGAAUUACAUGCCCUGCAGAGGGGGAUAGCCCAGGGAAACUUGGAUUAAUACCCCAUGGUAUCGCGAGAUUAAAGGUGGCCGCAAGGCUGUCGCUGCAGGAUUGGUUCGCGCCCUAUCAGCUUGUUGGUGAGGUCACGGCUCACCAAGGCUACGACGGGUACCUGGUCUGAGAGGACGAUCAGACACACUGGAACAGAGAAACGGUCCAAACAGCUAGGGGUGGCAGCAGUCGAGAAUAAUACACAAUGGGGGCGAACCUGAUAGUGCAACGCCGCGUGGAGGAUGAAGGUGUUCGGAUUGUAAACUCCUGUCAUCCGGGAGUAAGACCUGGCGAUGAAUAGUCGACAGGGUUGAUAGUACCGGAAGAGGAAGGGACGGCUAACUUCGUGCCAGCCGCCGCGGUAA